AUUGAACGCUGGCGGCAUGCCUUACACAUGCAAGUCGAACGGCAGCACGGGAGCUUGCUCCUGGUGGCGAGUGGCGAACGGGUGAGUAAUACAUCGGAACGUACCCUGAAGUGGGGGAUAACGUAGCGAAAGUUACGCUAAUACCGCAUAUUCUGUGAGCAGGAAAGAGGGGGAUCGCAAGACCUCUUGCUUUAGGAGCGGCCGAUGUCGGAUUAGCUAGUUGGUGAGGUAAAGGCGUCACCAAGGCGACGAUCCGUAGCGGGUCUGAGAGGAUGAUCCGCCACACUGGGACUGAGACACGGCCCAGACUCCUACGGGAGGCAGCAGUGGGGAAUUUUGGGACAAUGGGCGCAAGCCUGAUCCAGCCAUGCCGCGUGAGUGAAGAAGGCC
RNAcentral lists this ribosomal RNA (390 nucleotides) under uncultured bacterium. RNAcentral describes it as "bacterial SSU rRNA". It matches the Rfam family "Bacterial small subunit ribosomal RNA", at positions 30 to 416 of the family's 1533-position model. The record is from RNAcentral.